This 315-nucleotide ribosomal RNA is filed under the name Triticum aestivum (bread wheat). Its description in RNAcentral is "partial small subunit ribosomal RNA". The record is from RNAcentral. Lineage: Eukaryota; Viridiplantae; Streptophyta; Magnoliopsida; Poales; Poaceae.
AUGAAGAUGAGCCGGCAAUGGAUGUACGAUGACCGAUGCUCUCCCCAGUUCGUUGAUGGCGUGCAUACUUUUCUGCUUGCGGCUGAGGCAAACAAGCAGGCGGAUGGUUUUAUGCCUUGUCCAUGUGCUGGCUGUAAGAAUGAUCGGAAUUACUCUAAGUUAAAAACCAUUCACGUCCACCUGUUUGAGUCCGGUUUCAUGCCCCACUAUAAUGUUUGGACCAAGCACGGAGAAAGAGGGGUUAUGAUAGAAGACAUGAAGGAAAUAUGCCCUAGAGGCAAUAAUAAAGUUAUUAUUUAUUUCCUUAUUUCAUGA